Molecule: ribosomal RNA, 266 nt
Filed under: uncultured Staphylococcus sp.
Lineage: Bacteria; Bacillati; Bacillota; Bacilli; Caryophanales; Staphylococcaceae
Description: partial 16S ribosomal RNA
Rfam family: Bacterial small subunit ribosomal RNA
Source: RNAcentral
CGGCGGACGGGUGAGUAACACGUGGAUAACCUACCUAUAAGACUGGGAUAACUUCGGGAAACCGGAGCUAAUACCGGAUAAUAUAUUGAACCGCAUUGUUCAAUAGUGAAAGACGGUUUUGCUGUCACUUAUAGAUGGAUCCGCGCCGCAUUAGCUAGUUGGUAAGGUAACGGCUUACCAAGGCAACGAUGCGUAGCCGACCUGAGAGGGUGAUCGGCCACACUGGAACUGAGACACGGUCCAGACUCCUACGGGAGGCAGCAGGC